RNAcentral lists this ribosomal RNA (163 nucleotides) under Cathayanthe biflora. RNAcentral describes it as "5.8S ribosomal RNA". It matches the Rfam family "5.8S ribosomal RNA". From Rfam's summary of the family: 5.8S ribosomal RNA (5.8S rRNA) is a component of the large subunit of the eukaryotic ribosome. It is transcribed by RNA polymerase I as part of the 45S precursor that also contains 18S and 28S rRNA. The record is from RNAcentral. Lineage: Eukaryota; Viridiplantae; Streptophyta; Magnoliopsida; Lamiales; Gesneriaceae.
AUAACGACUCUCGGCAACGGAUAUCUCGGCUCUCGCAUCGAUGAAGAACGUAGCGAAAUGCGAUACUUGGUGUGAAUUGCAGAAUCCCGUGAACCAUCGAGUCUUUGAACGCAAGUUGCGCCCGAAACCAUCAGGUUGAGGGCACGUCUGCCUGGGCGUCACG